GCGAGCCAUCGAAUCUUUGAACGCACAUUGCGCCCGCCAGCAUUCUGGCGGGCAUGCCUGUCCGAGCGUCAUUUCCUCCCUCACGCAGCGCGCCUGCGUGGUGUUGGGGCGUUCUGCGGCCAGGCCUGCGCCUAGCAGGCCGCCGCAGCCCCCGAAAGCCAGUGGCGGGCCGGCAGCGGGCUCCGAGCGCAGUAAGCAGCAGUGCCCUCGCUCUGGACGCCCCCGCCUGCGCCCUGCCCCAAAGACGGCAGACGCGAGUCUCCCUCCUUCUCAAGGUUGACCUCGGAUCAGGUAGGACUACCCGCUGAACUUAAGCAUAUCAAUAAGCGGAGGAAAAGAAACCAACAGGGAUUGCCCCAGUAACGGCGAGUGAAGCGGCAACAGCUCAGAUUUGGAAUCUGGCCCCCAGGGCCCGAGUUGUAAUCUGGAGAGGAUGCUUCUGGCGCGGCGCCUUCCGAGUUCCCUGGAACGGGACGCCGGAGAGGGUGAGAGCCCCGUACGGUCGGACGCCUAGCCUUUGUGAAGCUCCUUCGACGAGUCGAGUAGUUUGGGAAUGCUGCUCAAAAUGGGAGGUAAAUUUCUUCUAAAGCUAAAUAUUGGCCAGAGACCGAUAGCGCACAAGUAGAGUGAUCGAAAGAUGAAAAGCACUUUGAAAAGAGGGUUAAACAGUACGUGAAAUUGUUGAAAGGGAAGCGCCCGUGGCCAGACUUGUGCCCCGCGGACCACCCGGCGCCCUCAGCGCCGGUGCACUCCGCGGGGCGCAGGCCAGCAUCGGUUUUCCCAGGGGGACAAAGGCGGCGGGAACGUGGCUCCCUCGGGAGUGUUAUAGCCCGCCGCGCCAUGCCCCUGGGGGGACCGAGGACCGCGCUUCGGCAAGGAUGCUGGCGUAAUGGCCACCGGCGACCCGUCUUGAAACACGGACCAAGGAGUCAAGCAUUGGGGCGAGUGUCUGGGUGCCAAACCCGCACGCGAAAUGAAAGUGAACGCAGGUGAGAGCUUCGGCGCAUCAUCGACCGAUCCUGAUGUUCUCGGAUGGAUUUGAGUAAGAGCCUUACCGCUUGGACCCGAAAGAUGGUGAACUAUGCCUGUAUAGGGUGAAGCCAGAGGAAACUCUGGUGGAGGCUCGCAGCGGUUCUGACGUGCAAAUCGAUCGUCAAAUAUGGGCAU
RNAcentral lists this ribosomal RNA (1167 nucleotides) under Leptographium rhodanense. RNAcentral describes it as "eukaryotic LSU rRNA". The stretch from base 278 to 1167 matches the Rfam family "Eukaryotic large subunit ribosomal RNA", at positions 1 to 918 of the family's 3401-position model. Lineage: Eukaryota; Fungi; Ascomycota; Sordariomycetes; Ophiostomatales; Ophiostomataceae. The record is from RNAcentral.